RNAcentral lists this transfer RNA (72 nucleotides) under Candidatus Woesearchaeota archaeon. RNAcentral describes it as "tRNA-Cys". It matches the Rfam family "tRNA". Rfam says of the family: Transfer RNA (tRNA) molecules are approximately 80 nucleotides in length. Their secondary structure includes four short double-helical elements and three loops (D, anti-codon, and T loops). The record is from RNAcentral. Lineage: Archaea; Nanobdellati; Candidatus Woesearchaeota.
GCAGGUGUGGCCAAGCGGCUAAGGCAUUCGGCUGCAACCCGAAGAUCCCCGGUUCAAAUCCGGGCACCUGCU